AUUGAACGCUGGCGGCAGGCCUAACACAUGCAAGUCGAGCGAGCGGCGGACGCGUGAGUAAUGUCUAGGAAACUGCCCGAUGGAGGGGGAUAUCUACUGGAAACGGUAGCUAAUACCGCAUACCCUCGGAUGUGCCCAGAUGGGAUGAGCUAGUAGGUGGGGGAACGGCUCACCUAGGCGACGAUCCCUAGCUGGUCUGUGAGGAUGACCAGCCACACUGGGACUGAGACACGGCCCAGACUCCUACGGGAGGCAGCAGUGGGGAAUAUUGCACAAUGGGCGCAAGCCUGAUGCAGCCAUGCCGCGUGUAUGAAGAAGGCCUUCGGGUUGUAAAGUACUUUCAGCGGGGAGGCGUUACCCGCAGAAGAAGCACCGGCUAACUCCGUGCCAGCAGCCGCGGUAAUUC
This 406-nucleotide ribosomal RNA is filed under the name uncultured bacterium. RNAcentral describes it as "partial 16S ribosomal RNA". It matches the Rfam family "Bacterial small subunit ribosomal RNA", at positions 30 to 526 of the family's 1533-position model. The record is from RNAcentral.